Molecule: ribosomal RNA, 2905 nt
Filed under: Escherichia albertii
Lineage: Bacteria; Pseudomonadati; Pseudomonadota; Gammaproteobacteria; Enterobacterales; Enterobacteriaceae
Description: 23S ribosomal RNA
Rfam family: Bacterial large subunit ribosomal RNA
Source: RNAcentral
GGUUAAGCGACUAAGCGUACACGGUGGAUGCCCUGGCAGUCAGAGGCGAUGAAGGACGUGCUAAUCUGCGAUAAGCGUCGGUAAGGUGAUAUGAACCGUUAUAACCGGCGAUUUCCGAAUGGGGAAACCCAGUGUGUUUCGACACACUAUCAUUAACUGAAUCCAUAGGUUAAUGAGGCGAACCGGGGGAACUGAAACAUCUAAGUACCCCGAGGAAAAGAAAUCAACCGAGAUUCCCCCAGUAGCGGCGAGCGAACGGGGAGCAGCCCAGAGUCUGAAUCAGUGUGUGUGUUAGUGGAAGUGUCUGGAAAGGCGCGCGAUACAGGGUGACAGCCCCGUACACAAAAAUGCACAUGCUGUGAGCUCGAUGAGUAGGGCGGGACACGUGGUAUCCUGUCUGAAUAUGGGGGGACCAUCCUCCAAGGCUAAAUACUCCUGACUGACCGAUAGUGAACCAGUACCGUGAGGGAAAGGCGAAAAGAACCCCGGCGAGGGGAGUGAAAAAGAACCUGAAACCGUGUACGUACAAGCAGUGGGAGCCCUGAUUUAUCAGGGUGACUGCGUACCUUUUGUAUAAUGGGUCAGCGACUUAUAUUCUGUAGCAAGGUUAACCGAAUAGGGGAGCCGGAGGGAAACCGAGUCUUAACUGGGCGUUAAGUUGCAGGGUAUAGACCCGAAACCCGGUGAGCUAGCCAUGGGCAGGUUGAAGGUUGGGUAACACUAACUGGAGGACCGAACCGACUAAUGUUGAAAAAUUAGCGGAUGACUUGUGGCUGGGGGUGAAAGGCCAAUCAAACCGGGAGAUAGCUGGUUCUCCCCGAAAGCUAUUUAGGUAGCGCCUCGUGAAUUCAUCUCCGGGGGUAGAGCACUGUUUCGGCAAGGGGGUCAUCCCGACUUACCAACCCGAUGCAAACUGCGAAUACCGGAGAAUGUUAUCACGGGAGACACACGGCGGGUGCUAACGUCCGUCGUGAAGAGGGAAACAACCCAGACCGCCAGCUAAGGUCCCAAAGUCAUGGUUAAGUGGGAAACGAUGUGGGAAGGCCCAGACAGCCAGGAUGUUGGCUUAGAAGCAGCCAUCAUUUAAAGAAAGCGUAAUAGCUCACUGGUCGAGUCGGCCUGCGCGGAAGAUGUAACGGGGCUAAACCAUGCACCGAAGCUGCGGCAGCGACACUGUGUGUUGUUGGGUAGGGGAGCGUUCUGUAAGCCUGUGAAGGUGUGCUGUGAGGCAUGCUGGAGGUAUCAGAAGUGCGAAUGCUGACAUAAGUAACGAUAAAGCGGGUGAAAAGCCCGCUCGCCGGAAGACCAAGGGUUCCUGUCCAACGUUAAUCGGGGCAGGGUGAGUCGACCCCUAAGGCGAGGCCGAAAGGCGUAGUCGAUGGGAAACAGGUUAAUAUUCCUGUACUUGGUGUUACUGCGAAGGGGGGACGGAGAAGGCUAUGUUGGCCGGGCGACGGUUGUCCCGGUUUAAGCGUGUAGGCUGGUUUUCCAGGCAAAUCCGGAGAAUCAAGGCUGAGGCGUGAUGACGAGGCACUACGGUGCUGAAGCAACAAAUGCCCUGCUUCCAGGAAAAGCCUCUAAGCAUCAGGUAACAUCAAAUCGUACCCCAAACCGACACAGGUGGUCAGGUAGAGAAUACCAAGGCGCUUGAGAGAACUCGGGUGAAGGAACUAGGCAAAAUGGUGCCGUAACUUCGGGAGAAGGCACGCUGAUAUGUAGGUGAAGCGACUUGCUCGUGGAGCUGAAAUCAGUCGAAGAUACCAGCUGGCUGCAACUGUUUAUUAAAAACACAGCACUGUGCAAACACGAAAGUGGACGUAUACGGUGUGACGCCUGCCCGGUGCCGGAAGGUUAAUUGAUGGGGUCAGCGCAAGCGAAGCUCUUGAUCGAAGCCCCGGUAAACGGCGGCCGUAACUAUAACGGUCCUAAGGUAGCGAAAUUCCUUGUCGGGUAAGUUCCGACCUGCACGAAUGGCGUAAUGAUGGCCAGGCUGUCUCCACCCGAGACUCAGUGAAAUUGAACUCGCUGUGAAGAUGCAGUGUACCCGCGGCAAGACGGAAAGACCCCGUGAACCUUUACUAUAGCUUGACACUGAACACUGGUCCUUGAUGUGUAGGAUAGGUGGGAGGCUUUGAAGUGUGGACGCCAGUCUGCAUGGAGCCGUCCUUGAAAUACCACCCUUUAAUGGCUGGUGUUCUAACGUUGGCCCCUUACCGGGGUUGCGGACAGUGUCUGGUGGGUAGUUUGACUGGGGCGGUCUCCUCCUAAAGAGUAACGGAGGAGCACGAAGGUUGGCUAAUCCUGGUCGGACAUCAGGAGGUUAGUGCAAUGGCAUAAGCCAGCUUGACUGCGAGCGUGACGGCGCGAGCAGGUGCGAAAGCAGGUCAUAGUGAUCCGGUGGUUCUGAAUGGAAGGGCCAUCGCUCAACGGAUAAAAGGUACUCCGGGGAUAACAGGCUGAUACCGCCCAAGAGUUCAUAUCGACGGCGGUGUUUGGCACCUCGAUGUCGGCUCAUCACAUCCUGGGGCUGAAGUAGGUCCCAAGGGUAUGGCUGUUCGCCAUUUAAAGUGGUACGCGAGCUGGGUUUAGAACGUCGUGAGACAGUUCGGUCCCUAUCUGCCGUGGGCGCUGGAGAACUGAGGGGGGCUGCUCCUAGUACGAGAGGACCGGAGUGGACGCAUCACUGGUGUUCGGGUUGUCAUGCCAAUGGCACUGCCCGGUAGCUAAAUGCGGAAGAGAUAAGUGCUGAAAGCAUCUAAGCACGAAACUUGCCCCGAGAUGAGUUCUCCCUGAGACCUGGAGUCUCCUGAAGGAACGUUGAAGACGACGACGUUGAUAGGCCGGGUGUGUAAGCGCAGCGAUGCGUUGAGCUAACCGGUACUAAUGAACCGUGAGGCUUAACCUU